Molecule: transfer RNA, 62 nt
Filed under: Ictidomys tridecemlineatus (thirteen-lined ground squirrel)
Lineage: Eukaryota; Metazoa; Chordata; Mammalia; Rodentia; Sciuridae
Description: Spermophilus tridecemlineatus (thirteen-lined ground squirrel) tRNA
Rfam family: tRNA
About the family: Transfer RNA (tRNA) molecules are approximately 80 nucleotides in length.
Source: Rfam by way of RNAcentral
UGUAGCUCAAUGGUAGAGUGCUCGCCUAGCAUGCUUGAGGGCCCUGGGUUUGAUUCCCAGCA